This is an RNA transcript of Carya illinoinensis, 2694 nucleotides long. It is a transcript of the gene named glyoxysomal fatty acid beta-oxidation multifunctional protein MFP-a-like, with no coding region annotated. The transcript is spliced from 20 exons. Lineage: Eukaryota; Viridiplantae; Streptophyta; Magnoliopsida; Fagales; Juglandaceae. The record is from RefSeq and is a predicted model, not a curated record.
AAGAAAAAAAAAAAAAACAACGCUUUCAACGUCACUCUGUCUGAAGUCAACUCGGACGCGCCAACUCCCCGCGUUGCGUAAGAAGCCCCCGGCAAACCCAUCUGAAAGCUACACGCUAGUAUUUACUCAAAUUCUUCGCCAAGAGAGUGCGACGCGGAGAAGGGAAGACAGAUAGUGAAGCAUUGACAAAAUGGGGAGCGGACCAAAAGGAAGAACUAUAAUGGAGGUGGGAGCUGACGGGGUGGCUCUUAUAACAAUAAUCAACCCUCCUGUUAAUUCCCUCUCCUUUGAUGUGUUACGCAGCUUAAAAGACAGUUAUGAGCAGGCACUAAGAAGGGAUGAUGUGAAGGCAAUCGUCAUUACAGGUGAAAAGGGCAAGUUUUCUGGUGGCUUUGAUAUUGCAGCUUUUGGGGGAAUUCAGAGGGGAUUGAGGGAGAGAGAAGAAAAGCCUGGCUAUCUAUCUAUAGAGAUUAUCACUGACACUUUUGAAGCCGCAAGAAAGCCUUCUGUUGCUGCCAUUGAUGGCCUUGCCUUAGGUGGAGGAUUAGAGGUUGCAAUGGCAUGCCAUGCUAGAAUAUCAACACCUACUGCACAAUUAGGGUUGCCUGAACUUCAGCUUGGAAUAAUUCCUGGAUUUGGAGGAACACAACGGCUUCCACGUCUUGUUGGCCUCUCAAAAGCUCUUGAAAUGUUGCUGAUGUCUAAGCCAGUCCAAGGGCAGGAAGCCUAUACUUUGGGUCUCGUGGAUGCCAUUGUUUCACCUGAUGAGUUGGUAAAUACUGCACGCCAGUGGGCCUUGGAUAUAUUGGACCAUAGAAGACCAUGGGCUGCUAGUCUUUACAAGACUGACAAGAUAGAGCCCCUUCGAGAAGCAAGGGAAAUACUUACGUUUGCAAGAGCUCAGGUCCAGAAACAGGCUCCCAAUCUCAAACAUCCAUUGCUUUGCAUUGAUAUCAUCGAAGAGGGUAUAGUUUCCGGUCCUCGGGCUGGACUUUGGAAGGAGGCUGAAGCUAGUCGAGCGCUUCUGCAUUCUGACACUUCCAAGAGUUUGGUCCAUAUCUUCUUUGCUCAACGUCGAACGUCAAAGGUACCUGGGGUUACUGAUAUUGGUUUAGUGCCAAGACGAGUAAAUAAGGUUGCUAUUGUUGGUGGAGGGCUAAUGGGCUCUGGCAUAGCAACGGCAUUGAUUCUUCGUAAUUAUCCAGUCAUCCUUAAAGAAGUAAAUGAUAAGUUCUUGCAGGCUGGGAUUGGUAGAGUGAGAGCCAAUUUGCAAAGCCACGUGAAGAAAGGGAAAAUGUCUCAAGAGAAGUUUGAGAAAACCUUCUCUCUUCUCAAAGGUGUUCUUGACUAUGAAAGGUUUAAAGAUGUGGACAUAGUGAUUGAGGCUGUUAUUGAGAAUCUUUCUCUGAAGCAACAAAUUUUUGCUGAUCUUGAAAAGUAUUGCCCACCACAUUGCAUACUUGCAAGUAACACCUCAACAAUUGACUUGAACCUGAUUGGAGAAAAGACAAGAUCCCAAAAUCGGAUUGUUGGAGCUCAUUUCUUUAGCCCGGCUCAUGUCAUGCCACUUCUGGAAAUUGUUCGUACUGAGCAGACAUCUCCCCAAGUGAUUGUUGAUUUGCUAGAUGUUGGUAAAAAGAUUAAUAAGACUCCAGUGGUGGUUGGGAAUUGUGCUGGCUUUGCUGUCAACAGGAUGUUCUUCCCUUAUUCAGAAGCUGCUAUUUUGCUUGUGGAGCGUGGUACAGAUCCCUAUCAAAUUGAUCGGGCAAGUACCAAGUUUGGAAUGCCAAUGGGGCCGUUCAGAUUGGCUGACCUGGUUGGUUUUGGUGUUGCAAUUGCAAGUGGCAUGCAAUAUGCUGAGCAUUUUCCUGAGAGAACUUAUAAAUCCAUGCUUGUUCCACUUAUGCAGGAGGAUAAGAGAGCAGGUGAGACUAGUCGCCAAGGGUUCUAUAUAUAUGGCAAGAACCGCAAAGCUAGCCCAGAUCCUGAAUUAUAUAAAUAUAUUGAGAAGUCAAGGAGCAUUUCUGGGGUAACCAUUGACCCUAAGGUAGUGAAGUUAUCAGACAACGAAAUUGUGGAGAUGAUAUUCUUCCCUGUGGUGAAUGAGGCCUGUCGAGUACUGGCUGAGGGUAUUGCAGUCAAAGCAGCAGACCUUGACAUAGCUGCUGUUAUGGGAAUGGGUUUCCCACCUUACAGGGGAGGUAUAAUGUUCUGGGCUGAUUCUCUUGGAUCCACUUACAUUUAUUCAAGAUUGGAGGAAUGGUCAAAGAUGUAUGGAGAAUUCUUCAAGCCAUGUGCCUAUUUGGCUGAAAGAGCUUCCAAGGGUGCUCCUCUGAGUUCUCCAGUGGAGCAAGCAACAUCUCGUUUGUAGGAUCGAUUUGCUUUGUACAUGCCUGGUUCAGUUGGCAGGUUUGGAGAAAUGCACCAUUAGCUUAAAUUUGCAUAAGGAUUGAGGUGAGAAAGACUGAGGAUGUUGCAGGCAGGGAUGCUGUUCAGGAGGUUGACAUUGACAAUGAGGCUUAAGACUUAGGAAGAUAAUUUAGAUUUUUAUCUUUACUAUUAAAUGAUUUCCAUUUCCGCAAUGCAUAGUACAAGUUAAACUAUUAUAUAGUAAGUGUUAUUGACCAAAUUGUUUAUUUUGAGAGAUUCCUUUUAUUAAAGUAUUUAAUGAGACUUUUAUUAUGAGAUCUUUUA